This 466-nucleotide ribosomal RNA is filed under the name uncultured bacterium. Its description in RNAcentral is "partial 16S ribosomal RNA". It matches the Rfam family "Bacterial small subunit ribosomal RNA", at positions 28 to 506 of the family's 1533-position model. The record is from RNAcentral.
GACGAACGCUGGCGGCGUGCUUAACACAUGCAAGUCGAACGGAAAGGCCCUGCUUUUGUGGGGUGCUCGAGUGGCGAACGGGUGAGUAACACGUGAGUAACCUGCCCUUGACUUUGGGAUAACUUCAGGAAACUGGGGCUAAUACCGGAUAGGAGCUCCUGCUGCAUGGUGGGGGUUGGAAAGUUUCGGCGGUUGGGGAUGGACUCGCGGCUUAUCAGCUUGUUGGUGGGUAGUGGCUUACCAAGGCUUUGACGGGUAGCCGGCCUGAGAGGGUGACCGGCCACAUUGGGACUGAGAUACGGCCCAGACUCCUACGGGAGGCAGCAGUGGGGAAUAUUGCACAAUGGGCGGAAGCCUGAUGCAGCAACGCCGCGUGCGGGAUGACGGCCUUCGGGUGGUAAACCGCUUUCGCCUGUGACGAAGCGUGAGUGACGGUAAUGGGUAAAGAAGCACCGGCUAACUACGU